RNAcentral lists this ribosomal RNA (664 nucleotides) under uncultured Bacilli bacterium. RNAcentral describes it as "bacterial SSU rRNA". It matches the Rfam family "Bacterial small subunit ribosomal RNA", at positions 67 to 717 of the family's 1533-position model. Lineage: Bacteria; Bacillati; Bacillota; Bacilli. The record is from RNAcentral.
CUGAAGGAGGAGCUUGCUCUUUCCGGAUGAGUUGCGAACGGGUGAGUAACGCGUAGGUAACCUGCCUGGUAGCGGGGGAUAACUAUUGGAAACGAUAGCUAAUACCGCAUAACAGUAGAUAUUGCAUGAUAUCUGCUUGAAAGGUGCAAUUGCAUCACUACCAGAUGGACCUGCGUUGUAUUAGCUAGUUGGUGAGGUAACGGCUCACCAAGGCGACGAUACAUAGCCGACCUGAGAGGGUGAUCGGCCACACUGGGACUGAGACACGGCCCAGACUCCUACGGGAGGCAGCAGUAGGGAAUCUUCGGCAAUGGACGGAAGUCUGACCGAGCAACGCCGCGUGAGUGAAGAAGGUUUUCGGAUCGUAAAGCUCUGUUGUAAGAGAAGAACGAGUGUGAGAGUGGAAAGUUCACACUGUGACGGUAUCUUACCAGAAAGGGACGGCUAACUACGUGCCAGCAGCCGCGGUAAUACGUAGGUCCCGAGCGUUAUCCGGAUUUAUUGGGCGUAAAGCGAGCGCAGGCGGUUAGAUAAGUCUGAAGUUAAAGGCUGUGGCUUAACCAUAGUACGCUUUGGAAACUGUUUAACUUGAGUGCAAGAGGGGAGAGUGGAAUUCCAUGUGUAGCGGUGAAAUGCGUAGAUAUAUGGAGGAACACCGGUGGCG